This 72-nucleotide transfer RNA is filed under the name Marmota monax (woodchuck). RNAcentral describes it as "tRNA.Gly". Lineage: Eukaryota; Metazoa; Chordata; Mammalia; Rodentia; Sciuridae. The record is from RNAcentral.
AGAGUUGUGGCUUAGUGGUAGAGCACUCACCUACCAUGGGUGACGCACUGGGUUUGAUCCUCAGCACCAUAU